RNAcentral lists this ribosomal RNA (1638 nucleotides) under Campylobacter jejuni. RNAcentral describes it as "partial 23S ribosomal RNA". It matches the Rfam family "Bacterial large subunit ribosomal RNA", at positions 1244 to 2873 of the family's 2925-position model. The record is from RNAcentral. Lineage: Bacteria; Pseudomonadati; Campylobacterota; Epsilonproteobacteria; Campylobacterales; Campylobacteraceae.
UUUGCGUCGAAGGUAUACCGGUAAGGAGUGCUGGAGCGAAUAGAAGUGAGCAUGCAGGCAUGAGUAGCGAUAAUUAAUGUGAGAAUCAUUAACGCCGUAAACCCAAGGUUUCCUACGCGAUGCUCGUCAUCGUAGGGUUAGUCGGGUCCUAAGUCGAGUCCGAAAGGGGUAGACGAUGGCAAAUUGGUUAAUAUUCCAAUACCAACAUUAGUGUGCGAUGGAAGGACGCUUAGGGCUAAGGGGGCUAGCGGAUGGAAGUGCUAGUCUAAGGUCGUAGGAGGUUAUACAGGCAAAUCCGUAUAACAAUACUCCGAGAACUGAAAGGCUUUUUGAAGUCUUCGGAUGGAUAGAAGAACCCCUGAUGCCGUCGAGCCAAGAAAAGUUUCUAAGUUUAGCUAAUGUUGCCCGUACCGUAAACCGACACAGGUGGGUGGGAUGAGUAUUCUAAGGCGCGUGGAAGAACUCUCUUUAAGGAACUCUGCAAAAUAGCACCGUAUCUUCGGUAUAAGGUGUGGUUAGCUUUGUAUUAGGAUUUACUCCGAAAGCAAGGAAACUUACAACAAAGAGUCCCUCCCGACUGUUUACCAAAAACACAGCACUCUGCUAACUCGUAAGAGGAUGUAUAGGGUGUGACGCCUGCCCGGUGCUCGAAGGUUAAUUGAUGGGGUUAGCAUUAGCGAAGCUCUUGAUCGAAGCCCGAGUAAACGGCGGCCGUAACUAUAACGGUCCUAAGGUAGCGAAAUUCCUUGUCGGUUAAAUACCGACCUGCAUGAAUGGCGUAACGAGAUGGGAGCUGUCUCAAAGAGGGAUCCAGUGAAAUUGUAGUGGAGGUGAAAAUUCCUCCUACCCGCGGCAAGACGGAAAGACCCCGUGGACCUUUACUACAGCUUGACAUUGCUACUUGGAUAAGAAUGUGCAGGAUAGGUGGGAGGCUUUGAGUAUAUGACGCCAGUUGUAUAUGAGCCAUUGUUGAGAUACCACUCUUUCUUAUUUGGGUAGCUAACCAGCUUGAGUUAUCCUCAAGUGGGACAAUGUCUGGUGGGUAGUUUGACUGGGGCGGUCGCCUCCCAAAUAAUAACGGAGGCUUACAAAGGUUGGCUCAGAACGGUUGGAAAUCGUUCGUAGAGUAUAAAGGUAUAAGCCAGCUUAACUGCAAGACAUACAAGUCAAGCAGAGACGAAAGUCGGUCUUAGUGAUCCGGUGGUUCUGUGUGGAAGGGCCAUCGCUCAAAGGAUAAAAGGUACCCCGGGGAUAACAGGCUGAUCUCCCCCAAGAGCUCACAUCGACGGGGAGGUUUGGCACCUCGAUGUCGGCUCAUCGCAUCCUGGGGCUGGAGCAGGUCCCAAGGGUAUGGCUGUUCGCCAUUUAAAGCGGUACGCGAGCUGGGUUCAGAACGUCGUGAGACAGUUCGGUCCCUAUCUGCCGUGGGCGUAAGAAGAUUGAAGAGAUUUGACCCUAGUACGAGAGGACCGGGUUGAACAAACCACUGGUGUAGCUGUUGUUCUGCCAAGAGCAUCGCAGCGUAGCUAAGUUUGGAAAGGAUAAACGCUGAAAGCAUCUAAGCGUGAAGCCAACUCUAAGAUGAAUCUUCUCUAAGCUCUCUAGAAGACUACUAGUUUGAUAGGCUGGGUGUGUAAU